This 383-nucleotide ribosomal RNA is filed under the name uncultured bacterium. RNAcentral's name for it is "bacterial SSU rRNA". It matches the Rfam family "Bacterial small subunit ribosomal RNA", at positions 29 to 416 of the family's 1533-position model. The record is from RNAcentral.
AGCGAACGUUUGCGGCGGGCCUAACACAUGCAAGUCGAACGCACUAGCAAUAGUGAGUGGCGCACGGGUGCGUAACACGUGGGUAAUCAACCCUUCAGCUUGGGAUAACGACUUGAAAGGGUCGCUAAUACCGGAUACGGCGCGGGAGGCUUCGGCUUCUCACGAGAAAGCCUCGCAAGGGGCACUGAAGGACGAGCCUGCGGCCCAUCAGCUAGUUGGUGAGGUAAGAGCUCACCAAGGCGAAGACGGGUAGCUGGUCUGAGAGGAUGAUCAGCCACACUGGAACUGAGACACGGUCCAGACUCCUACGGGAGGCAGCAGUGGGGAAUAUUGCGCAAUGGGCGAAAGCCUGACGCAGCCACGCCGCGUGAGCGAUGAAGGCC